Molecule: long non-coding RNA, 1977 nt
Organism: Sinocyclocheilus grahami
Lineage: Eukaryota; Metazoa; Chordata; Actinopteri; Cypriniformes; Cyprinidae
Source: Ensembl
CAGGAGUAUCCCUUGGGCAAGUAUCCAGGCAUGUUGUUGUGUCAACAGAUGCCUCCGCCAGGGGCUGGGGUGCCAUGUGCAGUGGGAAUGCAGCUGCGGGGCUCUGGUCGGGGCCCCGACUACAGUGGCAUAUCAACUGCCUCGAGUUGCAAGCAGUAUGGCUGGCUCUGCGCCGCUUCAAAUCGCUGCUACACGACAAGCACGUACUGGUCCGUACGGACAACACUGCGACCGUUGCGUACAUCAACCACCAGGGCGGUCUACGCUCCCGUCGCAUGUCGCAACUCGCCCGCCAUCUCCUCCUCUGGAGUCAGAAGCAUCUGAGGUCGCUUCGCGCCAUUCACAUCCCAGGCGAGCUCAAUCGUGCAGCCGACGAGCUCUCACGUCAGCCCGCCCCUCCGGGAGAAUGGCGACUCCACCCCGAGACAGUCCAGCUGAUUUGGAGACGCUUUGGGGACGCUCAGGUAGACCUGUUUGCCUCCCCGGACACGUCCCAUUGCCAGUGGUUUUACUCCCUGGCCGAGGGACCCCUCGGCACGGACGCACUGGCGUGCAGCUGGCCUCGGGGCCUACGCAAAUAUGCGUUUCCCCCAGUGAGCCUUCUCGCACAGACACUGUGCAAGGUCAGGGAGGACGAGGAGCAGGUCCUCUUGGUGGCGCCAUACUGGCCCAGUCGGACUUGGUUCCCCGAACUGAUGCUCCUCGCGACAGCCCCUCCUUGGCGAAUUCCUCUGAGGAGGGAUCUCCUUUCUCAGAGAGGGGGCACCCUCUGGCACCCGCGUCCAGACUUGUGGAAUCUCCACUUAUGGUCCCUGGACGGGACGCGGAGGUUCUAGGUGGGCUACCUCCAGCGGUAGUAAACACCAUCGCUUCAGCUAGAGCCCCGUCUACCAGACACGCUUACAGGCUGAAGUGGAACCUGUUCGUCGGUUGGUGCUCUUCCCGCCUGGAAGACCCCCGUAGAUGCCCGAUCGCAGUCGUGCUUUCUUUCCUGCAGGAUGGCUUGGAGCGAAGGCUGUCUCCCUCCACCCUGAAAGUGUAUGUUGCCGCCAUUGCCGCACAUCACGAUGCAGUAGACGGUAAGUCUCUAGGGAAGCACGACCUGAUCAUCAGGUUUCUCAGAGGGGCAAGGAGGCUAAAUCCUCCGCGCCCUCACCUAUUACCCUCUUGGGAUCUCCCCUCGGUCCUCAUGGCCCUGAAGGAGGAGCCCUUCGAGCCUCUGCAGUCAGUAGAGCUUAAGGUUCUGUCAUUAAAGACAGCGCUCCUCACCGCUUUGGCCUCGGUCAAGAGGGUAGGGGACCUGCAGGCAUUCUCGGUCGACGAUUCGUGCCUAGAAUUCGGGACGGGUAACUCUCACGUUGUCCUGAGACCCCGGCCCGGAUAUGUGCCCAAAGUUCCCACCACGCCUUUCAGGGAUCAGGUGGUGAACUUGCAAGCGCUGCCCCGGGAGGAGGCAGACCCAGCCAUCGCUCUGCUCUGUCCCGUUCGCGCUUUGCGCAUUUACGUGGACCGUACGCGGAGCUUCAGGACCUCAGACCAGCUCUUUGUCUGCUUUGGAGGUCAGCAGAAGGGAAAGGCUGUCUCCAAACAAAGACUUGCCCACUGGUUAGUGGAGGCUAUAGUCUUGGCAUACCAGGCCCAACGUUUACCAUGCCCCCUCGGAGUGAGAGCUCACUCUACGAGAGGAGUGGCAUCUUCGUGGGCAUUGGCGCGGGGCGCCUCGAUAGCAGACAUCUGUAGAGCUGCCGGCUGGGCGACGCCUAACACGUUUGCGAGAUUCUAUAAUCUCCGUGUAGAGCCCGUGUCCUCUCGUGUACUCGCCUCAGGUAGGCAGUAACACCGGACCUGCUCGGUGUCGAUCACGCUUGCUGCGCCAUUCCCCUCUACGGACCGGAUACGUGCGCUCUUGUGCUCCUCAUUCAGUUCCCCAUGGCGAACCCUGGUGGAGUUCCUCCCGCACCCUCGGCGGUCAGGCGU